CGGUAAUACGUAGGUGGCGAGCGUGUCCGGAUUUAUUGGGCGUAAAGCGAGCGCAGGCGGUUUUUUAAGUCUGAUGUGAAAGCCUUCGGCUUAACCGGAGAAGUGCAUCGGAAACUGGGAGACUUGAGUGCAGAAGAGGACAGUGGAACUCCAUGUGUAGCGGUGGAAUGCGUAGAUAUAUGGAAGAACACCAGUGGCGAAGGCGGCUGUCUAGUCUGUAACUGACGCUGAGGCUCGAAAGCAUGGGUAGCGAACAGGAUUAGAUACCCUGGUAGUCCAUGCCGUAAACGAUGAGUGCUAAGUGUUGGAGGGUUUCCGCCCUUCAGUGCUGCAGCUAACGCAUUAAGCACUCCGCCUGGGGAGUACGACCGCAAGGUUGAAACUCAAAGGAAUUGACGGGGGCCCGCACAAGCGGUGGAGCAUGUGGUUUAAUUCGAAGCUACGCGAAGAACCUUACCAGGUCUUGACAUCUUCUGCCAAUCUUAGAGAUAAGACGUUCCCUUCGGGGACAGAAUGACAGGUGGUGCAUGGUUGUCGUCAGCUCGUGUCGUGAGAUGUUGGGUUAAGUCCCGCAACGAGCGCAACCCUUAUUAUCAGUUGCCAGCAUUCAGUUGGGCACUCUGGUGAGACUGCCGGUGACAAACCGGAGGAAGGUGGGGAUGACGUCAAAUCAUCAUGCCCCUUAUGACCUGGGCUACACACGUGCUACAAUGGACGGUACAACGAGUCGCGAAGUCGUGAGGCUAAGCUAAUCUCUUAAAGCCGUUCUCAGUUCGGAUUGUAGGCUGCAACUCGCCUACAUGAAGUUGGAAUCGCUAGUAAUCGCGGAUCAGCAUGCCGCGGUGAAUACGUUCCCGGGCCUUGUACACACCGCCCGUCACACCAUGAGAGUUUGUAACACCCAAAGCCGGUGAGAUAACC
RNAcentral lists this ribosomal RNA (921 nucleotides) under Levilactobacillus brevis. RNAcentral's name for it is "bacterial SSU rRNA". It matches the Rfam family "Bacterial small subunit ribosomal RNA", at positions 518 to 1440 of the family's 1533-position model. Lineage: Bacteria; Bacillati; Bacillota; Bacilli; Lactobacillales; Lactobacillaceae. The record is from RNAcentral.